GGGUCAAUAACUUAGUUAAUUAGAGCAACGGACUCAAAUUCCGUUGCUUUAGGUUCAAGUCCUUUUUGAUCUU
This 73-nucleotide transfer RNA is filed under the name Parachlamydiales bacterium. RNAcentral describes it as "tRNA-Leu". It matches the Rfam family "tRNA". From Rfam's summary of the family: Transfer RNA (tRNA) molecules are approximately 80 nucleotides in length. The record is from RNAcentral. Lineage: Bacteria; Pseudomonadati; Chlamydiota; Chlamydiia; Parachlamydiales.